GACGUAGGGGGCAAGCGUUGUCCGGAUUUAUUGGGCGUAAAGGGCGCGUAGGCGGUCAGCACAAGUCAGUUGUGAAAUCUCCGAGCUUAACUCGGAACGGUCAACUGAUACUGUGCGACUAGAGUGCGGAAGGGGCAACUGGAAUUCUCGGUGUAGCGGUGAAAUGCGUAGAUAUCGAGAGGAACACCUGCGGCGAAGGCGGGUUGCUGGGCCGACACUGACGCUGAUGCGCGAAAGCCAGGGGAGCGAACGGG
Molecule: ribosomal RNA, 254 nt
Filed under: uncultured bacterium
Lineage: Bacteria
Description: partial 16S ribosomal RNA
Rfam family: Bacterial small subunit ribosomal RNA
Source: RNAcentral